This 465-nucleotide ribosomal RNA is filed under the name Ascomycota sp. r226. RNAcentral's name for it is "partial 18S ribosomal RNA". The stretch from base 93 to 409 matches the Rfam family "Group I catalytic intron". Rfam says of the family: Group I catalytic introns are large self-splicing ribozymes. They catalyse their own excision from mRNA, tRNA and rRNA precursors in a wide range of organisms. Lineage: Eukaryota; Fungi; Ascomycota. The record is from RNAcentral.
AGGUUUNCGUAGCUCAGGUACGGACAAGCUUGACCGCCAGGUCAGGUGAUCCUUCUGCGUACACUGCCGAAGCCUUAGCAGCCGAAAGGGUGCAGUCGCGACUCAAAGAAAGGAGGACUGCUGAAAUGCUAGUCUGCAGAAGCAGGCAACACUAUCAAAUUGCGGGAACACCCUAAAGACCUCAACACCAAGCGUCAUGGGAAACCAUGGCGUGGCCGAGCUAAUAGCCCUGGGUAUGGUAACAGCUUGAGGUAUGAAGCCUUCGCAAGGAGGCUGAAAUGGGCAAUCCGCAGCCAAGUCCUAACGUGCUCGAAACCGAGUGCCAUGGAUGCUGUUCACAGGCCAAAUGGUAGUGGGUGACUCUUGCGAGUUGCUUAAGAUAUGGUCGGGCCCCUUCAGAAAUGUGGGGGAUAAGCUUACGCUUCUCUAAACCGUUCCGUAGGUGAACCUGCGGAAGGAUCAUUA